This 515-nucleotide ribosomal RNA is filed under the name uncultured bacterium. RNAcentral's name for it is "bacterial SSU rRNA". It matches the Rfam family "Bacterial small subunit ribosomal RNA", at positions 28 to 534 of the family's 1533-position model. The record is from RNAcentral.
GAUGAACGCUAGCGGGAGGCUUAACACAUGCAAGUCGAGGGGCAGCAUAGGGUAGCAAUACUCUGAUGGCGACCGGCAAACGGGUGAGUAACGCGUAUGCAACCUACCCUGUACAGGGGGGAUAACCCGGAGAAAUUCGGACUAAUAUCCCGUAAUAAUAUCCGGAGGCAUCUUUGGAUAUUUAAAGUUUCGACGGUACGGGAUGGGCAUGCGUAACAUUAGCUGGUUGGUAAGGUAACGGCUUACCAAGGCUAUGAUGUUUAGGGGUCCUGAGAGGGUGGUCCCCCACACUGGUACUGAGACACGGACCAGACUCCUACGGGAGGCAGCAGUGAGGAAUAUUGGUCAAUGGGCGCAAGCCUGAACCAGCCAUCCCGCGUGCAGGAAGACGGCCCUAUGGUUGUAAACUGCUUUUCCAGGGAGAGAAACUUACGCACGUGUUGCGUGACUGACGGUACCCUGGGAAUAAGCAUCGGCUAACUCCGUGCCAGCAGCCGCGGUAAUGUGUGUGUACG